RNAcentral lists this transfer RNA (74 nucleotides) under Asanoa ishikariensis. RNAcentral describes it as "tRNA_Ala_GGC". It matches the Rfam family "tRNA". From Rfam's summary of the family: Transfer RNA (tRNA) molecules are approximately 80 nucleotides in length. Their secondary structure includes four short double-helical elements and three loops (D, anti-codon, and T loops). Lineage: Bacteria; Bacillati; Actinomycetota; Actinomycetes; Micromonosporales; Micromonosporaceae. The record is from RNAcentral.
GGGGCUGUAGCUCAGCCGGGGAGAGCGUCGGUUCGGCAGACCGAAGGCCGCGGGUUCGAGUCCCGCCUGCUCCA